Molecule: microRNA precursor, 63 nt
Filed under: Rhinopithecus bieti (black snub-nosed monkey)
Lineage: Eukaryota; Metazoa; Chordata; Mammalia; Primates; Cercopithecidae
Description: miRNA (ENSRBIG00000007309.1)
Source: RNAcentral
AGGGUGGGCGAGGUCCAUCCCCGGCUCCAUCCCCCGGCCUGCUCAUCCCCCUCGCCCUCUCAG